RNAcentral lists this transfer RNA (85 nucleotides) under Felis catus (domestic cat). It matches the Rfam family "tRNA". From Rfam's summary of the family: Transfer RNA (tRNA) molecules are approximately 80 nucleotides in length. Their secondary structure includes four short double-helical elements and three loops (D, anti-codon, and T loops). The record is from Rfam by way of RNAcentral. Lineage: Eukaryota; Metazoa; Chordata; Mammalia; Carnivora; Felidae.
ACCUGGGUGGCUCAGUCGGUUAAGCGUCUGACUUCGGCUCAGGUCAUGAUCUCACAACUCAUGAGUUUGAGUCCCAUGUCAGGUU